UGUGCCCAGGCACACCCUAAUGCAGGGGUGGGGAAAUGGCCCCACUCUCCUGGCACGGCAAGCCGGAGGGUCUACGCUCCCGGAGCACAGCAAGCCACCGGCCCCUCCCCUACAGCCAUGCAGCAGCACCCACAGCGCUCUGGGGGCCAGAGUUCUGCAGAGAGGCAGACAUGUUCCCUGCUCAUUCAGAGCCUUGCCACCACGCAUGCAGCAUUCUGAGAGGCGGGGCUGCAUGCUCCUGCAGGCCAGGGUUUGGCUCUGCGCAGAGCAGAACAUGCUGCUAGGAGCCUCAUGUGUCCUCCACCCUUGCCACUUCCAUGGUGUGCAUCUUUUUGCCACAUACCACUAUGUUCAGAUGCAUCACAACACUGUACUCAGAGGUGAAACAAAGGCCGUCCACUCAGCUUAGACUCCACCUCCUGCGACAUGAUAGGAGAGAAGGCCUAAAGCUACUCCCCAGCCCCUGCUCUACAGUGCCCAGGCUGAACAGAAUAAUGUCUCCCCCUGUAGACUCAACGGAUUCUUCUACUUUGGAAAAUGAGAAAUAUAAGGGCCACUGAAAAAGUGUGCUUUUCAUGCAGUCAUGGAGUGAAUAUAAUGCCCUGAGAUUGAUGUCCUGCAGCCAAAUACUGACUUCAAGUAGAAGCCAUCAUCUCUCCUGUCACAGACUUGUUCCUUGGACAACAUCAGCCACAAUUAGAGCAGCAGAUUUCUUGCUAUUUUGAAAGAAGUCAAGUCAAAACGCAAUGACAGUAAAUUAAGUAAAAAUCGCAGGUUUAGUGA
Gopherus evgoodei (Goodes thornscrub tortoise) is the source of this 783-nucleotide long non-coding RNA. RefSeq lists it as uncharacterized. The transcript has 2 exons. Lineage: Eukaryota; Metazoa; Chordata; Testudines; Testudinidae. The record is from RefSeq and is a predicted model, not a curated record.